CAUGCAAGUCGAGCGAGAAGCUAACUUCGGUUGGUGGACAGCGGCGCACGGGUGAGUAACGCGUGGGAAUUUACCUUUCGGCGGGGGACAACAGUUGGAAACGACUGCUAAUACCGCAUACGCCCUACGGGGGAAAGAUUUAUCACCGAAAGAUAGGCCCGCGUUAGAUUAGGUAGUUGGUAGGGUCAAAGCCUACCAAGCCGACGAUCUAUAGCUGGUUUGAGAGAACGAUCAGCAACACUGGAACUGAGACACGGUCCAGACUCCUACGGGAGGCAGCAGUGGGGAAUCUUGCACAAUGGGCGAAAGCCUGAUGCAGCCAUGCCGCGUGAGUGAGAAGGCCUUCGGGUUGUAAAACUCUUUUAGAUGUGAAGAUGAUGACGGUAACAUCAGAAAAAGCACCGGCUAACUUCGUGCCAGCAGCCGCGGUAAUACGAAGGGUGCUAGCGUUGUUCGGAAUUACUGGGCGUAAAGAGCGUGUAGGCGGCUUAGCAAGUUAGAGGUGAAAUCCCAGGGCUCAACCCUGGAACUGCCUUUGAUACUGCUAAGCUUGAGAUCGUGAGGGGAUAGCGGAAUACCCAGUGUAGAGGUGAAAUUCGU
This 600-nucleotide ribosomal RNA is filed under the name uncultured Alphaproteobacteria bacterium. Its description in RNAcentral is "bacterial SSU rRNA". It matches the Rfam family "Bacterial small subunit ribosomal RNA", at positions 54 to 691 of the family's 1533-position model. The record is from RNAcentral. Lineage: Bacteria; Pseudomonadati; Pseudomonadota; Alphaproteobacteria.